ACUCAAAUGAAUUGACGGGGGCCCGCACAAGCGGUGGAACAUGUGGUUCAAUUCGACGCAACGCGAAGAACCUUACCUGGGCUCGAAAUGCUGGUGACCAUCCGUAGAAAUAUGGACUUCCCGCAAGGGACACCAGUAUAGGUGCUGCAUGGCUGUCGUCAGCUCGUGCCGUGAGGUGUUGGGUUAAGUCCCGCAACGAGCGCAACCCUUACAUUCUGUUGCCACCCGCAAGGGGGAACUCGGAAUGGACUGCUCCGGAUAACGGAGAGGAAGGUGGGGAUGACGUCAAGUCAGCAUGGCCUUUAUGUCCAGGGCUACACACGUGUUACAAUGCGCGGUACAGACCGUUGCCAACCCGCGAGGGGGAGCUAAUCGGAAAAAACCGCGCUCAGUUCGGAUUGCAGUCUGCAACUCGACUGCAUGAAGCCGGAAUCGCUAGUAAUGGCGUAUCAGAUCGGCGCCGUGAAUACGUUCCCGGGCCUUGUACACACCGCCCGU
Molecule: ribosomal RNA, 498 nt
Filed under: uncultured bacterium
Lineage: Bacteria
Description: partial 16S ribosomal RNA
Rfam family: Bacterial small subunit ribosomal RNA
Source: RNAcentral